GAUGAACGCUGGCGGCGUGCCUAAUACAUGCAAGUCGAGCGAACAGACGAGGAGCUUGCUCCUCUGACGUUAGCGGCGGACGGGUGAGUAACACGUGGAUAACCUACCUAUAAGACUGGGAUAACUUCGGGAAACCGGAGCUAAUACCGGAUAAUAUAUUGAACCGCAUGGUUCAAUAGUGAAAGACGGUUUUGCUGUCACUUAUAGAUGGAUCCGCGCCGCAUUAGCUAGUUGGUAAGGUAACGGCUUACCAAGGCGACGAUGCGUAGCCGACCUGAGAGGGGGAUCGGCAACACUGGAACUGAGACACGGUCCAGAGUCCUACGGGAGGCAGCAGUAGGGAAUCUUCCGCAAUGGGCGAAAGCCUGACGGAGCAACGCCGCGUGAGUGAUGAAGGUCUUCGGAUCGUAAAACUCUGUUAUUAGGGAAGAACAAAUGUGUAAGUAACUAUGCACGUCUUGACGGUACCUAAUCAGAAAGCCACGGCUAACUACGUG
RNAcentral lists this ribosomal RNA (497 nucleotides) under uncultured bacterium. Its description in RNAcentral is "partial 16S ribosomal RNA". It matches the Rfam family "Bacterial small subunit ribosomal RNA", at positions 28 to 507 of the family's 1533-position model. The record is from RNAcentral.